This is a long non-coding RNA of Ornithodoros turicata, 298 nucleotides long. RefSeq lists it as uncharacterized. The record is from RefSeq and is a predicted model, not a curated record. The transcript is spliced from 3 exons. Lineage: Eukaryota; Metazoa; Arthropoda; Arachnida; Ixodida; Argasidae.
UGGGGGAGGAGGAUUACAUCCUUGUUUUCCUCUCCCAAAUGCACUACCAGGUUUCGAGGGGGAGGGGUUUAACCCCCCCCCCCCCCUUCUGCAGCCAUUGUGUACCUUCAUGUUAACCUCAUGUUCUUGUUCGAAAACUCUUGUUUCUCGUGCAACACGCUGCAGCAAAAACAAAGGAAUCCCAAGGUCCUCAAGCUUCGGGUAACACUGUAGGCCCUCAAAUGGGUGAGUUAUGACAUCAACCAGAACAGGUCCAGCAGGAGACCUGUACUCCCUAGGCAAGACAAAAAAAAAGGAG